GGUUCCAUGGUGUAAUGGUGAGCACUCUGGACUCUGAUUCCAGCAAUCCGAGUUCAAGUCUGGGUGGAACCU
This is a non-coding RNA of Lontra canadensis (Northern American river otter), 72 nucleotides long. The record is from the annotation of a RefSeq genome assembly. NCBI's taxonomy places the organism in Eukaryota, Metazoa, Chordata, Mammalia, Carnivora, Mustelidae.